RNAcentral lists this ribosomal RNA (427 nucleotides) under uncultured bacterium. RNAcentral describes it as "partial 16S ribosomal RNA". It matches the Rfam family "Bacterial small subunit ribosomal RNA", at positions 355 to 774 of the family's 1533-position model. The record is from RNAcentral.
UGGGGAAUAUUGCACAAUGGGCGCAAGCCUGAUGCAGCCAUGCCGCGUGUAUGAAGAAGGCCUUCGGGUUGUAAAGUACUUUCAGCGGGGAGGAAGGCGAUAAGGUUAAUAACCUUGUCGACUGACGUUACCCGCAGAAGAAGCACCGGCUAACUCCGUGCCAGCAGCCGCGGUAAUACGGAGGGUGCAAGCGUUAAUCGGAAUUACUGGGCGUAAAGCGCACGCAGGCGGUCUGUCAAGUCGGAUGUGAAAUCCCCGGGCUCAACCUGGGAACUGCAUUCGAAACUGGCAGGCUAGAGUCUUGUAGAGGGGGGUAGAAUUCCAGGUGUAGCGGUGAAAUGCGUAGAGAUCUGGAGGAAUACCGGUGGCGAAGGCGGCCCCCUGGACAAAGACUGACGCUCAGGUGCGAAAGCGUGGGGAGCAAACA